CUUUACUAUAGCUUUGCAGUGGCACGCCGAUUUUCUUGUGCAGAAUAGGUGGGAGGCUUUGAAGCGGGGACGUUAGUUUCCGUGGAGCCGCCGUUGAGAUACCACCCUGGAAUCUCGUCGUGUCUAACCAAGUCCUGUUAUCCAGGACUGGGACCCUGCAUGGUGGGUAGUUUGACUGGGGCGGUCGCCUCCCAAACAGUAACGGAGGCGCGCGAUGGUGGGCUCAGGACGGUCGGAAAUCGUCUGUGGAGUGCAAUGGCAUAAGCCCGCCUGACUGUGAGACUGACAAGUCGAACAGAAUCGAAAGAUGGCCAUAGUGAUCCGGUGAUUCCAUAUGGAAGGGUCAUCGCUCAACGAAUAAAAGGUA
RNAcentral lists this ribosomal RNA (367 nucleotides) under uncultured organism. RNAcentral's name for it is "bacterial LSU rRNA". It matches the Rfam family "Bacterial large subunit ribosomal RNA", at positions 2099 to 2465 of the family's 2925-position model. The record is from RNAcentral.